CAGAUGGACAGUUUCCCUUGGGGCAGACAUUUACAGAUGCUUUCAUUCCAUCAGCGUAUGCAAUCACUAACAACCUUACCAGUUCGAGAAAAGACUCGACCGUGGUUCUUUGUCUCCUACAAUUACAGGCAAAUGUGUCUCCCAAGAUCAGAAUGGGGACUGCUUCCAGGAGUGUCCAGGGAGGAGAGCUGGCUGUAUUCCCUACGCAUUGAGUGGAGUUUCCAGAGACUACUUGAGCGGUGACAUCACGAGACGGAAUGAAGAAGCAGAAAUGAGCAUCCAGCUCUUCUAUUAAGCCAGACAUGAAAGAGACUCACAAAAACCAUAAAAUGACAGCUUUCUUUUCACGAUUUUUUUUAAAUUUUUAUUUAUUUAUUUAUUUA
Long non-coding RNA from Balaenoptera musculus (blue whale), 383 nucleotides. RefSeq lists it as uncharacterized. The transcript has 3 exons. The record is from RefSeq and is a predicted model, not a curated record. Lineage: Eukaryota; Metazoa; Chordata; Mammalia; Artiodactyla; Balaenopteridae.